GCCGCAUCUGUGGCAUAUGGAAGUUCCCAGGCUAAGGUUCAAAUAUGAACUGCAGCUGAGACCUCUGCCACAGCCACAGCAACACCAUAUCCAAGUCGCAUGUGUGACCUAUGCCACAGCUUGUGACAACACCAGAUCCUUAACCCACUGAUCGAGGCCAGGGAUUGAACCCUCAUCCUCACGGACACUAUAUUGGGAUCUUAAUCCAUUGAGUCACAAUAGGAACUCUGACCCCAUGGGAUUUUCUUGUUGUUGUUGUUUUUCAAAGACAAUUGCUUCUUCCUGGAUUGGUAUUGUGUGAGAGGGGUUCAGGGCUAAAAUGAAUAGAUCUCUAACCAAAGAUCUUAAUAGGGAUAAAAAUUACUUUUGACAAAUCCCACUCUAAAUCAUUGUAGUGGGCAACUCUGAGCACCAAAAACGAACAAGAGUUACAAUGUCUGAGGGCUUUGUCUCCUUUGUCAACAAGAAUAUGUGGUUUAGAGGUACAAGCCACCAACCAGUGACCCCCUGGAAGGCCACCACCAAGAGAGCUGCUUCCUGACUCCAGUUCUGGGUGACCCUGUCUGUGGCUUGCUGAGGAGUCUACUGAUGUUCUACCCUAACUCCCACCCUUGCUGCUGUUACUCCCCUGAGUAACAGAACCCUGAGUUUAUUUCAGGCAACAGUGUACCCAACUAAACAGGUCCCAGCCUUCCUUGCAGCUAAGUGUGGCCAUGUGGUUAGAGUCUGCCCAAUGAGGUAUAAGCUGAGAAGUUGUCAGUGGAUUCCAGAAAGUCUCAUUAAAAGGGAGGGGACCCUUUUACCUCUUUUCACUGCUCCUUCCUGUUGCCUGGAAUGAGGUGAUGGUUGCUGAGCUCAAGCAGCCAUCUUGGACUUAGAUGAUGCGAGGAGGAAAGCUUCCUGGUGGCAGAGUUCCCACUGGGGCUCAGCAGGUUCAAAACCCAAUGUAGUCUCUGUAAGGAUGCGGCUUCGAUGCCUGGCCUCACUCAGUGGGUUAAGGAUCUAGUGUUGCCACAAGCUGUAGCAUAGCUUGCAGAUGUGGCUUGAAUCUGAUAUUGCUGUGGCUGUAGCGCAGGCUGGCAGCUGCAGCUCUGAUUUGACCCCUAGCCCAGGAACUUCCAUAUGCUGCAGGUGCAGCUGUAAAAAGAAAAAAAAAAAAACAACCCAAAAAAACAAAAAACUUCUUGCUACUCUUUAAGGGUCUUUGUCAUCGUCAGCAGAUGCAGUUUCUAACUGAUAUGUGGAAGCUCACUGGGCCUCAUUUUGUGGAAGGGCAAAGGUGUCCACAGUUCCUCUAAGCCAACUGCUACUUCUGCUCUCUCUGGAAGAAUCAUCCUGCCCAAGAGGGCCCAAUUCUUUCACAACUUUC
This 1369-nucleotide long non-coding RNA is filed under the name Sus scrofa (pig). RNAcentral describes it as "lncRNA (ENSSSCG00050025096.1)". Lineage: Eukaryota; Metazoa; Chordata; Mammalia; Artiodactyla; Suidae. The record is from RNAcentral.